This is a non-coding RNA of Cytidiella melzeri, 89 nucleotides long. The record is from the annotation of a GenBank genome assembly. Lineage: Eukaryota; Fungi; Basidiomycota; Agaricomycetes; Polyporales; Irpicaceae.
GGCCUGGUGGUCUAGUAGUAUGAUUCCUUCUUAGGGCUUUUCAUUGGUCAAUUUGGAGGAGGUCCCGGGUUCAAUUCCCGGCCAGGCCC